UACGGAGGGUGCGAGCGUUGUCCGGAAUCAUUGGGCGUAAAGGGCGCGUAGGUGGCGGGACAAGCGUGCGGUGAAAGCCUGGGGCUCAACCCCGGGUCGGCCGUGCGAACUGUUUUGCUUGAGCACUGUAGAGGCAGGCGGAAUUCUGGGUGUAGCGGUGGAAUGCGUAGAGAUCGGGAAGAACAUCAGUGGCGAAGGCGGCCUGCUGGGCUGUUGCCGACGCUGAGGCGCGACAGCGUGGGGAGCAAACAGG
Molecule: ribosomal RNA, 253 nt
Filed under: uncultured bacterium
Lineage: Bacteria
Description: partial 16S ribosomal RNA
Rfam family: Bacterial small subunit ribosomal RNA
Source: RNAcentral